This 565-nucleotide ribosomal RNA is filed under the name Manouria emys emys. Its description in RNAcentral is "partial 12S ribosomal RNA". It matches the Rfam family "Bacterial large subunit ribosomal RNA", at positions 1818 to 2603 of the family's 2925-position model. The record is from RNAcentral. Lineage: Eukaryota; Metazoa; Chordata; Testudines; Testudinidae.
GCCCCCAGCAAAACACAAGUAUUAGGGGUAAUGCCUGCCCAGUGACACUGUUAAACGGCCGCGGUAUCCUAACCGUGCAAAGGUAGCGUAAUCACUUGUCUCUUAAAUAGAGACUAGAAUGAACGGCCAAACGAGGCUCUACCUGUCUCUUACAAAUAAUCAGUGAAAUUGAUCUUCCCGUGCAAAAGCAGGAAUGACAUUAUAAGACGAGAAGACCCUGUGGAACUUCAAAUACAAAUCAACUAUUACCAACAUCCGCCUAAUUAGGCCUAUACCAAAACAUAGCACCUGAUUCUUAUUUUCGGUUGGGGCGACCCCGGAGCAUAAUAAAACCUCCGGAAAAAGAACUUCUCUUUCAAACCUAGACUUACGAUCCAAAGUGCCUUCGGCAAAAUGAUCCAAUAUAUUUGAUCAACGAACCAAGCUACCCCAGGGAUAACAGCGCAAUCCCAUCCAAGAGUCCCUAUCGACGAUGGGGUUUACGACCUCGAUGUUGGAUCAGGACAUCCUGAUGGUGCAACCGCUAUCAAGGGUUCGUUUGUCAACGAUUAACAGUCCUACGUGA